UAAUUAACUGGACGUUACCCACAGAAGAAGCACCGGCUAACUCCGUGCCAGCAGCCGCGGUAAUACGGAGGGUGCGAGCGUUAAUCGGAAUUACUGGGCGUAAAGGGUGCGUAGGUGGUUGAUUAAGUUAUCUGUGAAAUUCCUGGGCUUAACCUGGGACGGUCAGAUAAUACUGGUUGACUCGAGUAUGGGAGAGGGUAGUGGAAUUUCCGGUGUAGCGGUGAAAUGCGUAGAGAUCGGAAGGAACACCAGUGGCGAAGGCGGCUACCUGGCCUAAUACGACACUGAGGCACGAAAGCGUGGGGAGCAAACAGGAUUAGAUACCC
Molecule: ribosomal RNA, 326 nt
Filed under: uncultured Legionella sp.
Lineage: Bacteria; Pseudomonadati; Pseudomonadota; Gammaproteobacteria; Legionellales; Legionellaceae
Description: bacterial SSU rRNA
Rfam family: Bacterial small subunit ribosomal RNA
Source: RNAcentral